This 1847-nucleotide long non-coding RNA is filed under the name Homo sapiens (human). RNAcentral's name for it is "HSALNT0190807". Lineage: Eukaryota; Metazoa; Chordata; Mammalia; Primates; Hominidae. The record is from RNAcentral.
AGGAUGUAAAAGUUGCACAACCCUUUUACAAUUGUAAAACCGUUUGAUUUCUUAGAUGUGAAAACUUUCAUAGUAAUAAUACAUUAUUUAAUAAAAAUGGAGAACCCAAACCCCUAUACACUGUUAUCAAUGAGCCUGUGACUCUUGCGUGAAUGAGUGAAAAACACUCUGUAUUUGGAGAUCUCUCUGCCAGGGAUGCCUAUUUCUCUUCUCAUCUGAGGUCUGGCGGUUGAUGGAAUAGACAGAGACUGCCCAACUAUGGCCACAGGGUAGGAUUCCUUUGCAGAAUAAAGAGAACUUGUGGACCCAAAGAGAAGAAUUCCUCCUAGAUCAAGCCUCACUGGAAAAUUCCACUUUAAUCCAUGAAUCAGAGGGAAAAACUGGAGCCAGCCCUGUCUGAAAGUCUAGCAGUUCCUAACCAGUGCUGAGCCUGUGAAACUCAUAGUCUAGCAGGAGGUCGCUGUGGCAUCAGCUGACAAGUUGAGUCUUGCUUAAAACAAAUUCUGUCGGAGCCAUGGUGAUUUCUUGGUUCUUCCAGGACUUGGGGAGGACUUCAGAGAAAAGGCAAAAAUGCUGAGCAUGAAAUUAUUCUGAAGAUAUGGAACGCAUGGAGAAAGAGUCCCUACUCCCCACUCCCGAAGCAGGAACUCUUGGCUUUUCAAUUUCGUAUUCUCCAUCCAGAGAAAUUCCCAAGGAGGCACCACACUCCCAGUUCUCCCUUUUUCCUUGCCUUCCCAACAGCUACACAGAACUAAGAAAAGGCCAUCAUUGCGAGGGUGGAAGAGAAGAUCUUGAAAUACUCAUCAUCGUGUUUUCUUUUUCAGCACUUCCUGUCCUUUCCCCUAGUGGGCAGAAGGAUCCACUUGGCCUGAAGAAGAAUUAGAGUUAUGACUGGAAGGCCGAGGGAAAGGAGAAGUUAUUGUUCUGAAGUUUUGUUUCCACCCAGGCUCAGGAGGAAAGGCAGUUCAGAGAGUUUCUGCUCAAAGAUUUGUGGGCGGCCACUACCAGGAGGGCUGCUGUGAAUCUGGCUGGCUCCUGUCACGAGCACAAGACUCUGCCCCCUCACUUGUUUUUUUCCUUAGGGCUGGGCAGGGGCCUCCCAUGACCCAUUCUCACAUUGCCGCAGAUGAUCCUCCGUGACUCCAGAAUGUGCUGAGCCCAUCUGAUUGCCCCUUGUGGAUGGCCUUUGUGUCAAUAAUCCAAGACCCUUACAAAACCUACCUCCCACCCCUGGAAAAAGAAGGCUGAAUCCUUGACCCCAGAGGGUGGUGUUAGUGAGGGAAGAGAUCCAGCAACACUUGGUGAUUCAGAAAGCCAGUGCUCACUGACAAUGAGUGGGUAGACGCGUGGGCCUGCAGACCUGCCUCGCUGUUCCAUUAACAGCAGAACACACUUCGAGAGGCAACUGACAAUGGAGGCAACAACAACAACAACAAAAGCAGUAUUUUUCCAAUCAUAAAAAAAGAAGUCUGUUUCUGAAAACACAGUUUGAUUUGUUUAUAUUUCAUGCAGUGUUAAAAUGCUCAGUCGGUUCUAACCUUGUUUGCAUUAAUCCUCUUUUCGGAAUUUGCACAUUUGUUUUCAAAGCAUUGGGUUGGAGCAGUUUGCUGCUACAUGGAAAUCAUAUCAGCAAUCGUACUCAGAACAUGAAAUGAACCUGCACAUAGAACCCACACAAUUUUAAUGUCUGCUAACCAACUGAUAAGCACAUAGGAAGGGCAUACAAGAAUUAGAAUAGAGAGCCAUUGAGCCAACAAAGGUUCACUUUCUAAGAAUCACCACCUUCUGAGGUUACUGGUUAGUACUCUCAACAGCCAUUGCAGCAGAGGCUAAUUCAUUCAUUCACA